RNAcentral lists this ribosomal RNA (262 nucleotides) under uncultured bacterium. RNAcentral describes it as "partial 16S ribosomal RNA". It matches the Rfam family "Bacterial small subunit ribosomal RNA", at positions 793 to 1055 of the family's 1533-position model. The record is from RNAcentral.
GUCCACGCUGUAAACGAUGAGUGCUAGACGUUGGGGCCCUUAGGGUUUCAGUGUCGCAGCUAACGCAUUAAGCACUCCGCCUGGGGAGUACGGCCGCAAGGUUAAAAACUCAAAGGAAUUGACGGGGGCCCGCACAAGCGGUGGAGCAUGUGGUUUAAUUCGAAGCAACGCGCAGAACCUUACCAGCUCUUGACAUCUUCUGACCGGUACGGAGACGUACUUUCCCUUCGGGACGGAAAGACAGGUGCUGCAUGGCUGUCGU